RNAcentral lists this unclassified non-coding RNA (329 nucleotides) under soil metagenome. RNAcentral's name for it is "partial contains 5.8S ribosomal RNA, internal transcribed spacer 2, and large subunit ribosomal RNA". The stretch from base 1 to 120 matches the Rfam family "5.8S ribosomal RNA", at positions 35 to 154 of the family's 154-position model. The record is from RNAcentral.
GAUGAAGAACGUAGCGAAAUGCGAUAAGUAAUGUGAAUUGCAGAAUUCAGUGAAUCAUCGAAUCUUUGAACGCACAUUGCGCCCCCUGGUAUUCCGGGGGGCAUGCCUGUCCGAGCGUCAUUACAACCCUCAAGCUCAGCUUGGUGUUGGGCCCCGCCGCCCCGGCGGGCCCUAAAGUCAGUGGCGGUGCCGUCGGGCUCCGAGCGUAGUAAUUCUUCUCGCUCUGGAGGCCCGGUCGUGUGCUCGCCAGCAACCCCCAAUUUUUUUCAGGUUGACCUCGGAUCAGGUAGGGAUACCCGCUGAACUUAAGCAUAUCAAUAAGCGGAGGA